UGUUAGGAUUUAAACCUUUGCCUAGUGCUUUAAACUUAGAUUGAAAUCAAUAUCAAAAGCUCUUCCUCUUUAUUCACUAUCAAUGAGUAACCUUACAAGAACAAAAUAGAAAUCACAAGCUUCUCUUUAGAACCAAAACCUUAACUAUUGAUUCUCUUGAUCUCUCUCUAUUUGCCUCGCUCUUGUAUCUUUGUUUCGGAUGAUUCUAAAGCCAUGACCACCUCUUCUAUUUAUAACAUCAUCAGCCUCUUAACUUUCCUAUUCCUUGUUGUCUUGGUUCGUCUUUGACCGACAUAACAAAACAAGAAACUAACUUCACGUUUCCUUUUUGUUUAUGCAGGAUUCUUGCUGGGCUGGAGUGGGCCAAGACAGAAUUGGGCUUUUCUCUCUACAAUCUCCACCUAAAGCCCAUAUUCUUGCCUUCUCUCUCUUGUCACCUCCUUCGAUGAUACCGUAGACGCUUUCAAGCUUCCAUCUCCUUCCACCUUUGAUCUGAAACGCUAUCUGUGACAACUUCGCUGUUGAGUCACUGUCGCCAUGCUCCUUAUCCUUAUCUUUGCAGUGAGCCAUGAACACGAAACCAGAAACGACAAUCUUCACUCAUCUCCCCCUCUUUUUUUUUUUUUUUCACCUAGAAUUUCUUGGGACUGUGAUGAUGUCUCACCGACGAAUCAUUCCACCUCCGGCGAGUACCGUUUCUUCACCCUGCGUCACAUUUACCCUUGUCUUUAAUCCCUCCGUGGUAUUUCUCUGCAACUCCGACAUGCUCCACGCCAGUGACAUCCUUGUAGUGAUCAAAACCACUGAUGUCAUUUAAUCGCUUAUCAUAUUCCUCUGUAGGAUAGCGAUUCAACUUCUCAAAUCUCAAGCUCACUCCUUUACUAGAUUAGACCAUUCUUAUCGCAACACUAGACAUCUCCAAAGAAGCUCGCGAUUUCUUCUUGGUGACUAGCAAAUCUAAUUUUUCAUGUUGGUGUUGAUCAAUUCAAUCAAUAUUACCGGUCAUACUGCAGCUUUCCGGUAAGAUUCUCUGAAUUUUGAGUCUUCUUGAUAGAGUUUGAUUAUUCUCAUUUGAAGUUGCAAAGCCUUACCCUCUAUUGAAUUUUGACAGUCCUUCCUGCGUUUCCGUUGAUCCUUUUGAGACUCCCCUUUUACUCCGACGAACCCACGAACCCCUUUCCACUUCAACUUCCUGGUAAGGUAAUUCAUGUAGCUUUAACCUGAUUAAGAUGAUGCCUGUGAUGUUUUACUUGUCUGGUGAUCUGCUUUGAUUUCCCGGUUGUGAUACUCGUCUCCCUUCAGCUCUCCUUGGUGUUUAUCCUCCACCACAGCAGCUGUUUAAGACGUUCUCUCCUCUCCGGUGAUCUAUUUCUUCUUUUCCCCGACCUAGAUACUCGUCUCCCUUCAGCUUAUCUUGCUGUUUAAGACGUUUUCUCAGGUCAUCCCUUCAACUUUAAAUUUUCUUUUAAAGUAUACUCCUCAUCCGACCUUUCAAACCUUUUGAGCGACUUUUCUUGUGUUUCAGCUACUCCACCUUGAGCUAAAACCUCUGCCUCGCAUCUAUGCUCACAGGUAACUCUUUAAACUCCCCCUUGAGUUUUCCAUUAUCAAUAUAAACCUGAAACUUACUUGCUUCUCCUCCUCUGUCUCUGCGAGCUUGAGACAGCGUUGAUAAUGGAGUUACCUGGAGCGUCCUCCUUCUUAGGCAGAAUCGCAGCGAACCUGAAGCUCCUCUCCAGGUACUGCGUUGAUUAAUACUCCUGCUCGAUUUUCAUUUGAAUGGUUCUUAGAUAGUGUUAUAUUCUCCUUGACUCUAUCUCCGAAGAUACCCUCUCCCAAUAUAUGUGACACUUUUCUCACAACGCCAUUCCCGAGUCUUGUAUUCACGUAUUCCCUUUUUCCAGCCUUCUUCCAGUCUUCCUCGUAGUCUUUAGAUGCUUUUUUUUGUACUAAGCUCUUGAGGUGCAGUCAAAACAUGUGCUAAGAGAUCACCAUCUUUAUGCCUUACUUCUUUUCCAAACAAUACAUCAUCCGUUGAAGAUUCUGUUUUCUGAGAUUCUUCACUGCUCGCCUUUGACUCAAUUUCUUCUGAUUUUUCUGUCAAGAAAGAGUCUCCACCUUGAGCUGAUGAGUCUUUUGUUUCAAAACCAUAUGAAGUAGGUCCCUGAAUCAGAACUUUUGCGAACGUCACCGUUUUUGACGUCUUCUUCUUGAUUAUUUUCUCCACUCUAGGCAUAUUCUUCUUACUCUUAGCAAUUGUGCCAUGUAGAUAAUAAACUCCCUUGUGAUAUUUUCCUGAUAUCACCCUCUUAUUAUCUUUGUAGAAGUGCACCAUAAAAUUGCUUCCUUUGUACUUGCAACCUGAUUUUUCUAACAUCCCAUAAGAAAUUAAAUUUCUUCUCACCUCCGGAAUGUACCUGACACCUGUGAGUAUCACUUCAGAGCCAUCUGAAUUCUGAAUCUUUAUUUUCCCAAUUCCUUUGAUGUCACACUGAGUGUUAUUAGCCAUUAACACUGAACCACCAUUGAACUCCUUGAGAUCAAACAUAACAUCCCUGUCUGAUGUACUAUGAUAAGAACAUCCAGAAUCCAUGAUCCAUUCUUGCUUAGUGUCUUGCACACUAGCUGUUAACACUAACGGUUGCUUCGGCUCCGUCGCAAUGUUUGCAGAUUCUUUAUGUCUCCUCUCAGGACAUUCUCUUUUCCAGUGUCCUUCUUCUCCACAGAUAAAACAACUUGUUUUGCUUUUAUCAAACCUUUGCCUUGACUUAGAUCUGCCUCUGCCGUUAGAUUUUCCUUUGUAACCCUUUUUAUCUGAUCUCCCCCUUGAAUCCUCCACGUACAAACCCUCUGCAUCAGACCUGGAUUUAUUCAGCAAACCCUUUUCCUUUAACUCCACUUCUUUGGAGUAUGCUGAAUUAGUCACGUCGUUCAUGGUAAGAGUUUCUUUUGCAGUCCCGUACUUGAGCGUGUCAACUAGUGAAUCAAAUUGCUGGGGCAAGCUAGAUAGAACUUGAAUUGCCUGGUCUUCAUCGCUGAUGUUGAUGUUAAGACUUGCAAGAUCUGAAACUAGCUUAAGAAAAAUAUCUAGGUUUUCCUCGAUGCUCUUGUGAUCAUCCAUCUUGAAGCUCGCAAACCUCUGCUUCAUGUAGAUCCUAUUAGGAAGUGUCUUUGUUUGGUAAUCUCUUUCCAAAGCCUUCCAAACUCCUAACGCAGUUGUUUCCUUCAUCACCUUACGCAGAACCAAAUUUCCUAGGCUCAUGCAUAUUAGAUUCUUUGCCUUCUUAUCCUUCAACGGAUCUACUUUGACCUCAGGUAGUUCUUCGUCUUUCUCCUUGCCUGUUUCAGAAGGCGUGACCGUAACUUCCUGAAUCGUAGAAUCUAACCCUAGAAGCUCCAACUGCAUUAGCAUCUUGUACUUCCAUAACCCGAAAUCACCUUUUCCAUCAAACCUCUCGACCUUGAACUUUCCGAACUCUCCGGAUAUCGAUUCCAUAUCUCCUCCUAGCACUUGCAAUCAAACCUGGAUUGCUCUGAUACCACUUGUUAGGAUUUAAACCUUUGCCUAGUGCUUUAAACUUAGAUUGAAAUCAAUAUCAAAAGCUCUUCCUCUUUAUUCACUAUCAAUGAGUAACCUUACAAGAACAAAAUAGAAAUCACAAGCUUCUCUUUAGAACCAAAACCUUAACUAUUGAUUCUCUUGAUCUCUCUCUAUUUGCCUCGCUCUUGUAUCUUUGUUUCGGAU
Molecule: long non-coding RNA, 3745 nt
Filed under: Brassica rapa (field mustard)
Lineage: Eukaryota; Viridiplantae; Streptophyta; Magnoliopsida; Brassicales; Brassicaceae
Description: long non-coding RNA (BRAP_LNC000225)
Source: RNAcentral